RNAcentral lists this small nuclear RNA (162 nucleotides) under Nannospalax galili (Upper Galilee mountains blind mole rat). Its description in RNAcentral is "U1 spliceosomal RNA (ENSNGAG00000004153.1)". It matches the Rfam family "U1 spliceosomal RNA". From Rfam's summary of the family: U1 is a small nuclear RNA (snRNA) component of the spliceosome (involved in pre-mRNA splicing). Its 5' end forms complementary base pairs with the 5' splice junction, thus defining the 5' donor site of an intron. The record is from Rfam by way of RNAcentral. Lineage: Eukaryota; Metazoa; Chordata; Mammalia; Rodentia; Spalacidae.
AUACUUACCUGGCAGGGGAGACAUCAUGAUCAGGAAGGUGGUUUCCCAGGGUGAGGCUCAUCCAUUGUACUUGGGAUGUGCUGACCCCUGCAAUUUCCCCAAAUGCGGAAACUCAGCUGCAUAAUUUGUGGUAGUGGGGGACUGCGUUCACGCUCUCCCCUG